Molecule: ribosomal RNA, 440 nt
Filed under: uncultured bacterium
Lineage: Bacteria
Description: partial 16S ribosomal RNA
Rfam family: Bacterial small subunit ribosomal RNA
Source: RNAcentral
CCUACGGGAGGCAGCAGUGGGGGAUAUUGCACAAUGGGGGAAACCCUGAUGCAGCGACGCCGCGUGGGUGAAGAAGCGCCUCGGCGCGUAAAGCCCUGUCAGCAGGGAAGAAAAUGACGGUACCUGAAGAAGAAGCCCCGGCUAACUACGUGCCAGCAGCCGCGGUAAUACGUAGGGGGCAAGCGUUAUCCGGAUUUACUGGGUGUAAAGGGGGCGCAGACGGCGAUGCAAGCCAGGAGUGAAAGCCCGGGGCCCAACCCCGGGACUGCUCUUGGAAAUGCGUGGCUAGAGUGCAGGAGGGGCAGGAGGAAGUCCUGGUGUAGCGGUGAAAUGCGUAGAUAUCAGGAGGAACACCGGUGGCGAAGGCGGCCUGCUGGACUGCAACUGACGUUGAGGCCCGAAAGCGUGGGGAGCAAACAGGAUUAGAUACCCCAGUAGUC